This 383-nucleotide ribosomal RNA is filed under the name uncultured bacterium. RNAcentral describes it as "bacterial SSU rRNA". It matches the Rfam family "Bacterial small subunit ribosomal RNA", at positions 28 to 414 of the family's 1533-position model. The record is from RNAcentral.
AACGAACGCUGGCGGCGUGCUUAACACAUGCAAGUCGAGCGGUAAGGCCCUUUCGGGGGUACACGAGCGGCGAACGGGUGAGUAACACGUGGGUGACCUGCCCUUAGCUCUGGGAUAAGCCUGGGAAACUGGGUCUAAUACCGGAUAUGACUCCAUGACGCAUGUUGUGGGGUGGAAAGCCUUGUGCGGCUAGGGAUGGGCCUGCGGCCUAUCAGCUUGUUGGUGGGGUGAUGGCCUACCAAGGCGACGACGGUAGCCGGCCUGAGAGGGCGACCGGCCACACUGGGACUGAGACACGGCCCAGACUCCUACGGGAGGCAGCAGUGGGGAAUCUUGCGCAAUGGGCGAAAGCCUGACGCAGCGACGCCGCGUGGGGAUGACGG